UUGGUCUUCUGGUUGUGAUAGUUUUUCUCCCU
RNAcentral lists this non-coding RNA (32 nucleotides) under Mus musculus (house mouse). The record is from RNAcentral. Lineage: Eukaryota; Metazoa; Chordata; Mammalia; Rodentia; Muridae.